AUCGCCCAUUCGUGUUUAGGUUGA
This 24-nucleotide non-coding RNA is filed under the name Arabidopsis thaliana (thale cress). Lineage: Eukaryota; Viridiplantae; Streptophyta; Magnoliopsida; Brassicales; Brassicaceae. The record is from RNAcentral.